RNAcentral lists this unclassified non-coding RNA (354 nucleotides) under Hevea brasiliensis (rubber tree). Lineage: Eukaryota; Viridiplantae; Streptophyta; Magnoliopsida; Malpighiales; Euphorbiaceae. The record is from RNAcentral.
AGCGAAUUGUAUUGCUUCUCAACAAGAUAGAUCUUGUACCUCGGGAGGCGGUGGAGAAAUGGCUCAAGUAUCUUAGAGAAGAGAUGCCAGCUGUUGCAUUCAAGUGCAGCACCCAAGAACAAAGGUCAAAUUUAGGUUGGAAAGCUGCCUCAAAGAUAUCGAAGUCAAAAAUUUUGCAAACAAGUGAUUGCCUUGGAGCUGAAACUCUUAUAAAACUGUUGAAAAAUUAUUCCAGAAGCCGUGAGAUCAAAGUUUCCAUUACCGUUGGUAUUGUCGGGCUUCCUAAUGUUGGUAAAAGUAGUCUGAUAAAUAGCUUGAAACGAUCUCAUGUUGUCAAUGUUGGCGCUACCCCGG